CCCAACUCUGAUGAUGUGCAUGCUGUGGUCAAUCAGGGACUGGCGGACAUGAAGAGUCACUGUCACAAGAAAGCUGCUGAGCUGUGGUUUGUGGCCCAGCUCUGCCAGACAGUGUAGUGACCAAGCCUAUUCUAGUGGCAGCAGUAGGGGCUGUGCUGGAAAUGGAACAACCAUCAAGGACCAUCUAAAGUGUCUCUUCUGUUGGGCAGGGCUGUCACCAUCAGCGUCUUCCUAGUGGCUGCAGGGAUGGCCAUAGUUCCUUGCAGAGCCAUAGCACGGGCCACUUGUGUGAUCUUAGUGGAAGCUGCUGGCUAUCCCUCCCUCUCUCCCAUCUUCCUCCUACAGAAACAGAACCCCUAUUCAUUAGUUGGAACAAGGUACCCAAGAGCAAAACCUACGUUUGCCUGGCUUCCACAGCAGGCUGCCAAUGGGAUUUAUACCGUAAGAUGCCCUACAAUGAGAACAACCAACCAGGGGUGGUUAUGGAUCAUGUAACAAAAAUCAGACCUUAGUAGAGAGUAUAAG
Molecule: long non-coding RNA, 525 nt
Filed under: Mus spicilegus (steppe mouse)
Lineage: Eukaryota; Metazoa; Chordata; Mammalia; Rodentia; Muridae
Description: lncRNA (ENSMSIG00000022165.1)
Source: RNAcentral